This 2593-nucleotide ribosomal RNA is filed under the name Alphaproteobacteria bacterium HGW-Alphaproteobacteria-3. RNAcentral describes it as "bacterial LSU rRNA". It matches the Rfam family "Bacterial large subunit ribosomal RNA". The record is from RNAcentral. Lineage: Bacteria; Pseudomonadati; Pseudomonadota; Alphaproteobacteria.
UGGUGGAUGCCUUGGCGCGCAGAGGCGAUGAAGGACGUGGCACGCUGCGAUAAGCCAUGGGGAGCUGUGAGCAAGCUUUGAUCCGUGGAUUUCCGAAUGGGGCAACCCACCCGCAAGGGUAUCGUCACCUGAAUACAUAGGGUGGCGAAGCGAACCCAGGGAACUGAAACAUCUCAGUACCUGGAGGAAAGGACAUCAACCGAGACUCCGCUAGUAGUGGCGAGCGAACGCGGACUAGGCCAAUGCCUCAAGUCUUCUAACUGGAACCGUCUGGAAAGUCGGGCCUUAGCGGGUGAUAGCCCCGUACAGGUGUUGAAGGCAUGAGGAUACGAGUAGGGCGGGACACGUGAAAUCCUGUCUGAACAUGGGGGGACCACCCUCCAAGCCUAAGUACUCCUGCGCGACCGAUAGUGCACAAGUACCGUGAGGGAAAGGUGAAAAGCACCCCGACGAGGGGAGUGAAACAGUUCCUGAAACCGGAUGCCUACAAACAGUUGGAGCCCGAAAGGGUGACAGCGUACCUUUUGUAUAAUGGGUCAGCGACUUAAUCUGGCGAGCAAGCCUAAGCCGAUAGGUGUAAGCGAAGCGAAAGCGAGUCUGAACAGGGCGUUCAGUUCGUCGGAUUAGACCCGAAACCGAGUGAUCUAGCCAUGAGCAGGCUGAAGGUGAGGUAACACUUACUGGAGGGCCGAACCCACGUCUGUUGAAAAAGACGGGGAUGACUUGUGGCUAGGGGUGAAAGGCCAAUCAAACUCGGAAAUAGCUGGUUCUCCGCGAAAUCUAUUUAGGUAGAGCGUCGGGCGAAUACUCCAGGGGGUAGAGCACUGGAUGGGCUAGGGGUCCUUACCGGAUUACCAAACCUAACCAAACUCCGAAUACCUGGAAGUACUACCCGGCAGACACACUAUGGGUGCUAACGUCCGUAGUGGAGAGGGAAAAAACCCUGACCGCCGUCUAAGGUCCCUAAAUUGUGGCUAAGUGGGAAAGGAUGUGGGGUCCCCAAAACAACCAGGAGGUUGGCUUAGAAGCAGCCAUCCUUUAAAGAAAGCGUAACAGCUCACUGGUCUAAAUAAGGGGCCCUGCGCCGAAAAUGUACCGGGGCUAAAGCCACAUACCGAAGACGCGGGUGCAUGCUUGCAUGCGCGGUAGCGGAGCGUUCCGUAAGCCUGUGAAGGGUGACCCGUGAGGGCACCUGGAGGUAUCGGAAGUGAGAAUGCUGACAUGAGUAACGACAAACAGUGUGAGAGACACUGUCGCCGAAAGUCCAAGGGUUCCUGCGUAAAGUUAAUCUGCGCAGGGUUAGCCGGCCCCUAAGGCGAGGGCGAAAGCCGUAGUCGAUGGGAACCACGUUAAUAUUCGUGGGCCAGUGGGAAGUGACGAACGCCGAAAGUUGUCAGGGCUUAUUGGAUUGUCCUGGCCGCGUAGGAGUUCCAGGAAAUAGCUCCCACAUGAGACCGUACCCUAAACCGACACAGGUGGACUGGUAGAGUAUACCAAGGCGCUUGAGAGAACGAUGCUGAAGGAACUCGGCAAAUUGCCUCCGUAACUUCGGGAGAAGGAGGCCCCAUACUUGGGCAACCAGGUGUGGGGGGCACAGACCAGGGGGUAGCGACUGUUUACUAAAAACACAGGGCUCUGCGAAGCCGCAAGGCGACGUAUAGGGUCUGACGCCUGCCCGGUGCCGGAAGGUUAAGAGGAGAGGUGCAAGCUUUGAAUUGAAGCCCCGGUAAACGGCGGCCGUAACUAUAACGGUCCUAAGGUAGCGAAAUUCCUUGUCGGGUAAGUUCCGACCUGCACGAAUGGCGUAACGACUUCCCUUUACUAUAGCUUUGCAGUGGCAUUAGUGACGGCAUGUGUAGGAUAGGUGGUAGGCUUUGAAGCUCGGGCGCCAGCUCGGGUGGAGCCAUCCUUGAAAUACCACCCUUACCUUUACUGAUGUCUAACCGCGGUCCGUUAUCCGGAUCCGGGACCCUGCAUGGUGGGUAGUUUGACUGGGGCGGUCGCCUCCCAAAGAGUAACGGAGGCGCGCGAUGGUAGGCUCAGGCUGGUCGGAAAUCAGCUGUCGAGUGCAAUGGCAUAAGCCUGCCUGACUGCGAGACGUACAUGUCGAGCAGAGACGAAAGUCGGUCAUAGUGAUCCGGUGGUUCCACGUGGAAGGGCCAUCGCUCAACGGAUAAAAGGUACGCCGGGGAUAACAGGCUGAUCUCCCCCAAGAGUCCAUAUCGACGGGGAGGUUUGGCACCUCGAUGUCGGCUCAUCACAUCCUGGGGCUGGAGCAGGUCCCAAGGGUUCGGCUGUUCGCCGAUUAAAGUGGUACGUGAGCUGGGUUUAGAACGUCGUGAGACAGUUCGGUCCCUAUCUGCCGUGGGUGUAGGAAAAUUGAGAGGAUCUGUCCCUAGUACGAGAGGACCGGGAUGGACAUACCUCUGGUGGACCGGUUGUCGCGCCAGCGGCACAGCCGGGUAGCUAUGUAUGGACGGGAUAACCGCUGAAAGCAUCUAAGCGGGAAACCCACCUCAAAACCAGUUUUCCCUUGAGAGCCGUGGAAGACGACCACGUUGAUAGGCCAGGUGUGGAAGUGCGGCAACGCAUG